ACGGAAGGCAGCAGUGGGGAAUAUUGGACAAUGGGGGAAACCCUGAUGCAGCAACGCCACGUGUGGGAAGAAGCAUUUCGGUGUGUAAACCACUGUCGUGAGGGAAUAAUGCUUGGUUUCGGCCAAGUUGAAUGUACCUCGAAAGGAAGCACCGGCAAACUUCGUGCCAGCAGCCGCGGUAAUACGAGGGGUGCAAGCGUUGUUCGGAAUCACUGGGCGUAAAGGGAGCGCAGGCGGAGAUGCAAGCAGUCUGUACAAUACCGGGGCCCAACCCCGGACCUGCAGACUGGACUGUUUCUCUUGGAUAGUUCAGGGGCAAGCGGAAUUCCUGGUGUAGCGGUGGAAUGCGUAGAGAUCAGGAAGAACACCGGUGGCGAAGGCGGCCUGCUGGACGAUAACUGACGUUCAGGCUCGAAAGCGUGGGGAGCAAACAGGAUUAGAUACCCUGGU
RNAcentral lists this ribosomal RNA (450 nucleotides) under uncultured Fibrobacter sp. RNAcentral's name for it is "partial 16S ribosomal RNA". It matches the Rfam family "Bacterial small subunit ribosomal RNA", at positions 341 to 791 of the family's 1533-position model. Lineage: Bacteria; Pseudomonadati; Fibrobacterota; Fibrobacteria; Fibrobacterales; Fibrobacteraceae. The record is from RNAcentral.